Molecule: unclassified non-coding RNA, 398 nt
Filed under: Bombus terrestris (buff-tailed bumblebee)
Lineage: Eukaryota; Metazoa; Arthropoda; Insecta; Hymenoptera; Apidae
Description: misc RNA ENSBTSG00005022936.1
Source: RNAcentral
CAUUACGUAAACAUACUUGCAUAUGCAUGUGACCUACAACAGUCAAUAUAGCGAUAACAUAAAAAUUUCUACAAAUGUUCUGUUUAUUUUUCCUUUUUCCUCGCUCGCUUAUUGAAAAUGUUGAAACUCUCAGGAAUUCUAAUUAAAUUUAUUAACAAUUUCGAUAUCACAGAGGGAACCAGUGAUUUAUGUCAACAGAUUUGCGAUGUAAGCUGCCAUAAGCUGCAACCUCAAGUCUGGAGACUUUCCCAGUCUACUAAAUCGUUCGUCCCAAAUCGCCGCUAUUUUGCGAUGUACGGUGUCAAAAUGAACUUCGCCAGUGACCGUGGCGAGGAGAAUAUUCGCCGAGCUUCAUGAGAGAAUAUGAAGAUAUAAAAGGACACUAAGUCAGGACGCGG